AGUCAUAUUCUAGUGUAAGUAAAAAGAACUUUUGUAAAAAGUCAAAUAGUCCAAUAAAGACCUGCCAAAUAAAAAAUGCAAAGAUUCUAAUUGUAUAGUCAAACAAAACAAAAAUACCCAAUUUUGUUUACCACAAAAAUUACCCCAUCAUAAUAAAACAAAAUAAAUGUCUAGCGAUACCAUCACUCAACACAAAAUAUAUAUAUAUUUAACACAGAUUUUGAGAAGAAAAGCACUACAUUUACACAAUAAAAAUCCUCCAAAUUUAAUCAGCUCAUUUCUCCAAGACAACCCACAAGAAAACAAAAACAAAAACAAAAUAGAAAAAGAAACCAUGUUAAGGAAAAAGUAAGAACCCAUACCGCAGUAAUCGUCCUCCUCCAUUGAUGGCUCUCCCAAGGUCUUUCGUGUGGUGUGAUAGUGAUGGGCGAUUGGAAGGUGUUCGCUUGGAAACUGGGUUUAAGAAGAAAGAAGGUGUGAAAUGCAAUCCUGAUCUCUCAUGUCGUGGUGGUGAAGGAGUGCGUGGAUGGGUGGCUAGGUAAAAAGAAAAGGAAGAAUUAUCAGGACACUACACGUGUCCUUAGUAGUAAGUCUGUUAAGUGGUACCAACAGCAGAGUUUAAGAAGUGAGAUUUUGAGUAUUAAUGCCGCAAUUUUUAAAAAUUGGAUACUUAUUAGCAACAAAAUCAACAAAUGAGUAUUUAUGCCGCAAAUUUCCCUAA
Molecule: long non-coding RNA, 721 nt
Organism: Cannabis sativa
Lineage: Eukaryota; Viridiplantae; Streptophyta; Magnoliopsida; Rosales; Cannabaceae
Exons: 2
Source: RefSeq, a predicted model, not a curated record